AUAAAACCGACGCGUUGGAAAGCUCGGAUCGGCGUUCCGACGAGCUUAUGGCAAGCUAGUGAGGAAAAAACCUCAUUUUAGUUUCGUUUGUCGCAAGUGAAGGUUUGGAUUAUUCAUAAAUCGCGGAAAGUGAUUUUCUCGCAUCUCGGCAUCAUUUAAAGGUAGGUGGUGCUUUUCGAAGUCAUCGAAUGACCUAUUAUUUUUACGUCACUUUUCAUGAGCAUAUAUGUAUAUGUUAGUGAUAUUCAUGCAUUAUAGGGUUGAGCUUGAUAUGUGAUUGGAUAUGGUUUACCUGUAUGCUUUGAAAGCUAAAUAUGUGUAAACAAUGGUUAGUAAACAUAGAACCCUAUAGAUGUAUGAACUUGUGUUGAAUUAUGAAAUAGUUGACAAAGUGACAUUGUUAGUAAAUGGCAUGAAUAGCACCGAGUAUUGUGAAUGUCAAACAAGGAUAAUGAACUUAUAAAAUGUGUGGCAUUCGAACUAGAUGAAUUGAUUAGCAUCUAGAGUUGGACAUGUAAACCUAGCAUAAAGAGCUAGUUAAAGUGUGGCAUUGUCAUUGUAUCCUCAAAGUCAGAAUUGGAUCAUACUCAUAUUACUCUAAUACUUGAGGUAAGGUCGCUCCUCCUUGGGCGAUGAGCUCCGAAAUUGUCAUCAACUGGGUGGGAAGCAGGUAUAUGCUCCCCAGUAAACGGUCCCGUUGGGUUGUAGCAGGCGUCUCCCCGAUAGUAGAGAUUGAGUUGGUGAGUUAUAGUUAACCAAAUGGUUAACUGGAUUGAUUGGGUAAUGGUAUAUAAUAGCAUGCAUGCAUAAAUUUCAUAUGUUAUAUAUUGUUCCUUUCAGCUUUGUACAGGCAUUGUAGUAGCUACAUGAUAUAGUUGGUUACUAUCUGUUCUUUUUCUUUCCUACAUAUGCCUGAGUAAACCUAGUUGGUGAGUCGGCGAGGUCAGUAGCCGAACCCAUUGGGAACUUUCAGUAAUUCUCACCCCACUUACCAUGCAGGUUCUAGCUCGUGUGGGUGGUUGAGGAUCGUGACUUGGACAGCGCUCCAUAGAUAGCAGACAUCCAUUGAGUAUAGUUGUACCUUGUAUAUUUCAUCUAUUUAUAGUUGAUGAAAGCAAAUGUAAAUUAUUCAUUUGAGAGAUGGCAAAUGUAUAUAUUGGAAGAAUGAAUGUAAUAAUUAUGCAAGCUUUAUAUUUGAUUUAAAGUAAUCAAGAUACAAUGUAUGAAUGGUUUAGUUAGUUUACUUUCACUUGCUUGUGUUGC
RNAcentral lists this long non-coding RNA (1263 nucleotides) under Ananas comosus (pineapple). RNAcentral's name for it is "long non-coding RNA (ACOM_LNC042135)". The record is from RNAcentral. Lineage: Eukaryota; Viridiplantae; Streptophyta; Magnoliopsida; Poales; Bromeliaceae.